This 273-nucleotide long non-coding RNA is filed under the name Elaeis guineensis (African oil palm). RNAcentral describes it as "long non-coding RNA (EGUI_LNC051575)". Lineage: Eukaryota; Viridiplantae; Streptophyta; Magnoliopsida; Arecales; Arecaceae. The record is from RNAcentral.
UCCUCCUCAUAAGCAUAUAUCAGCCCAUCCAACGCCAAUUGCUUCCCAAUGCAUUGUUAUUUUGUACAUCUAUGUUGAAUCUAGAGUCCAGGUGGCUCUUUGCAUUCCCAGCACCACAGAUACCAUUUUCUUUUUCUUUCUAAAAUCUGAGAUUAUAUAGACACUUUCAUUUUCUUUUAAUGUUUUUCUAUUUUGUCCUCACCUAGGUUGGAGUCUCGAUCUCCGGGUAAACUGAGUCACUGCUCAUGGAACCAAGAAUUUAUAUGUACAAAG